GGGGAAUUUUGGACAAUGGGGGCAACCCUGAUCCAGCCAUGCCGCGUGCGGGAAGAAGGCCUUCGGGUUGUAAACCGCUUUUAUUCGGAAAGAAGGAGUGCGGGUUAAUACCUCGCAUGACGGACGGUACCGGAUGAAUAAGCACCGGCUAACUACGUGCCAGCAGCCGCGGUAAUACGUAGGGUGCGAGCGUUGUCCGGAAUCAUUGGGCGUAAAGGGCGCGUAGGUGGCCCGGUCAGUCUUUGGUGAAAGCGCGGGGCUCAACCCUGCGUCGGCCAGGGAUACUGCCGCGGCUCGAGCACUGUAGAGGCAGGCGGAAUUCCGGGUGUAGCGGUGGAAUGCGUAGAGAUCCGGAAGAACACCGGUGGCGAAGGCGGCCUGCUGGGCAGUUUAGCUGACACUGAGGCGCGACAGCGUGGGGAGCAAAC
Molecule: ribosomal RNA, 428 nt
Filed under: uncultured bacterium
Lineage: Bacteria
Description: bacterial SSU rRNA
Rfam family: Bacterial small subunit ribosomal RNA
Source: RNAcentral